UAUCUAUGGUCAGUGUUUUCCCAGCCGAAGCAUGUGAAGUGAUCAGCGGAUAUGCAUGUUCAGCUGACAUUUCCCCUGAAGUCAAGCUUGAAACAAAGCCCAUCUCCCGUCCCGUGACUUCAGAGAACGUAGACCGAGAAUACCUAGAGUAUAACACCCCGAAAACGUAAAGAUCACUUUCCUUUAUUUACACUGAGAUUCUCAGCUUGCGUUUUUCAACUUCUGAUUGUGUGUGUUGUUUGUACUUGGAUACAGUGUUUUCGCCGCAGAGGCAUGUUUGAUCCAAAAAUGGUGUUUAUCUUUGUGAUGUUUGUUGGAAUCAAUCAAAUAAAGAAUCUAAAGAUAAAAGCUUAGAUUCUUGAGGUUUAGGAGAAAUCUUAAAAGAAUCAAAUGAGAAAUGAACAUCAAAAGAGUUUAUUGAUUUAAGAUUGUAUUACAUGUAGGAUUACAAGUGUAAAGAAAUCUAAUAAUCCAUAAACCCUUUGUAAGAAGUGUUUUAAAGAAGAAGAGAUCCCCAUCUAAUAAGGAGAUAGUUCCUUAUUUAUAGAAGAAAGAUGACUAGGGUUUCAUAGUAAAAUGAGUCUAAUUUAUUGUCUAAUGGGCCUUGAGGUAGAAUGUAAAUCUACCCCCAACAAUAAGUCCCCCCAAGUUCGUAGAGAGAGAUGAAGUCGAUCUCUGUGAAUUUUACGAAUAGGGUUUAUUAGACAAUAAACUAGACACAUUCAUGCCUAUGAUGGUUUAGGCGAGUUUACUUCGAACUUGUGCCUAGUAAAAGGCAAGUUUGCUUUAAACUCGUGCUUAGUGAAAGACGAGUUUACUUGACUUAUGCUGAGACAGAGGCGAAUUUACUGAGAACUCGUGCCUAGUAGUAGGAGAGUUUCUGUAAACUCAUGCCUUGUCAAAGAUGAGUUUUUGUAAACUCGUGUCUAACAAUAAGUGAGUCUAAUGCAAAUUUGUGCCUAAUAAAAAGCAAGUUGAAUUUAAACUCGUGCCUAGUAAAAAUAAGUUUACCAAACUUUGCCGACCCGAAGUCUCGUGUUGAGAUCGUGUGUGCCGAGCAAGUUAUUGGCUUGUGUGUUCGUCAGGCAUGAUGACGUAAGAAAGCGCCGGCUUGUGCUGAUUCAGACAAGUUUGUAGCUGCGAGAUCGCCAUUCCAAGCA
Molecule: long non-coding RNA, 1160 nt
Filed under: Brassica rapa (field mustard)
Lineage: Eukaryota; Viridiplantae; Streptophyta; Magnoliopsida; Brassicales; Brassicaceae
Description: long non-coding RNA (BRAP_LNC001518)
Source: RNAcentral